Molecule: ribosomal RNA, 138 nt
Filed under: Cladophialophora chaetospira
Lineage: Eukaryota; Fungi; Ascomycota; Eurotiomycetes; Chaetothyriales; Herpotrichiellaceae
Description: partial large subunit ribosomal RNA
Source: RNAcentral
AAGCGCUUGCAACCAGACUUGAGCGCGGCGGUUCCCCCGGUCUUUUGGCCGGGCUACUCCGUCGUGUCCAGGCCAACAUCGGUUCUGAGGGUCGGUCAAAGGCCUUGGGAAUGUAUCUACCUACGGGUAGACUUAUAG